Molecule: long non-coding RNA, 1354 nt
Organism: Neofelis nebulosa (Clouded leopard)
Lineage: Eukaryota; Metazoa; Chordata; Mammalia; Carnivora; Felidae
Exons: 3
Source: RefSeq, a predicted model, not a curated record
CUAUCGCCUACAAUCUUCCAUGGGGUCACAGGCUAGGGAGUGUCUCCCCAUCUUUAGAGAGAGCAGUCACGAUCCGAUGGGAACAGUGUGGCCUGGCUGCCGCCCACCCAAGAGCUGAGCAGCAGGUCUGAGUAGCCGACAGCCUAAGUCAGUUGCCACUCUCUCAAGCCGGUCAGGAUUGUGCUCGUCAGUUGACGAAGUUUCUCUUACAAAAGGAACCUCGGCGCUUCCCUAUUUGCCCCAGUAUUUAGAGAAAACAAUCUGAAUGUUUUCAGGCCAUUCUGGAGAGAGGAGCCAAGGGCAUCAGAGCCAAACCCGGACCCCGUUAGAUCGUCAAACCCCUUCUAUUACUCAAGACAGGUGUUUGAUCUCUGAGGAGUGCUUUCAACACAGAAGCCAUUAAAGAUCACAGACAGUAAGAGACACGGGCCCAUGUAAUGACAGGCCAGCAGAUGAAGAGUGGAUGGGCUCAGUCACGAACUUGCUGGGUGACCCUGGGUUCUCCACUUUUAACAACUCAUGGGAUUAGACCAGCCCCCACUGGAUAAUCAGGAUAGCUGCCUCAUCUCUAGGUGCAUAACUCCGAUCAUAUCUGCAAAGUCCCUUUUGCCACCUAAGGUUGGACCACACAUGGAACAUUGAGAUCAGUUUGUGACAUCACAAUACAAGAGGUACUGGCCACCUGGGGGAUUCUGAAAGGGUGGCUGAGCUGCUGAGGCCACAGGGAUCAUCGCACAGGACAGGCUGAGGAAAAUGGAGCGUUCAGCCUGGAGAGAUAAACGGAGAAGAACGCUUGCUCUGGACCUCGGAAAUGAUGCUCCCUGGGAAGAAAGAAUCCUUCUUUCAUGGGAUCCCUGCGAGAUGAUCAGAGCCAGGGGCUACAACCAGGAUACACUUUUGCUUUCAGGAGGGGGACGCCACAGGCAAAACCACUUUGGUUCGACAGAGGCCAUCGAACCAACUUUAAGAGCACUGCGCAUCUGCUUCUGGUAGGAAACCGGAUGAAGAGACCUGCUUUGACUCUGACUUUGCACGGUUGCCAAAGAUGGCCCCACAGCUCUCUUUUCAACAAAUGACUUGUUCUGUUUUGGGGUUUAAUGGCCAAAUGAAAGGAUUGAGGUCAUGUGAGAGAAAGAGAUGUGCCCAAGGUCUCAACACUGGUUGCAAAACUGAAUGUGGAAACCAAGCCUCCCGGUGCUUAGGCCAGGAUUCCUUUUUACUAUCUGUUAAAAUUCUUGAUCAGCACGGUAUCUGCUGAAAAACAAAUACCCAAUUCCUUCUCCUCGCACACCCUGUCUCGAGGGUUCUUCCGACCCUUUAGGUUUUCAGUGUUGCAGGCUCACUGUCUCAGGGG